This 107-nucleotide small nuclear RNA is filed under the name Sciurus vulgaris (Eurasian red squirrel). Lineage: Eukaryota; Metazoa; Chordata; Mammalia; Rodentia; Sciuridae. The record is from RNAcentral.
GUGUUUGUUUUGGCAGCACAUAUACUAAAAUUGGAAUGAUAUAGAGAAGAUUAGCAUGGCCUCUGUGCAAGGAUGACACACAAAUUCGUGAAGCAUUCCUUAUUUUU